Molecule: long non-coding RNA, 320 nt
Filed under: Trifolium pratense (red clover)
Lineage: Eukaryota; Viridiplantae; Streptophyta; Magnoliopsida; Fabales; Fabaceae
Description: long non-coding RNA (TPRA_LNC008117)
Source: RNAcentral
AAUAACUAAAACCAGACAAUAAAAGAUUUUAUAAUAGAAAUAACUGAAUUUAUACUCAAAUAAUAUAAAUUAUACAACCAAGCAUUCGUAAGGGAGUUCCUCGACUCCACCUAUCCUAGGAAAAAUAAAUUACAAAAAGCAGAAAGAAAAGAACCUUGUUGGCCUUGGAGUUCCUUGGCCUCCUUGCCUCCUCCUUAGUGUUCUCCUAACUCUGGAAUGUGUUGGAAUAUUUUGGAAUGUUGGUGAAGGUGUUGGAAUAUUUUGGAAUGUUGGUGAAGGUGUUGGAAUGAAUAAUAGUGGAGGAAGGAGACUCUAUUUAU